Molecule: ribosomal RNA, 225 nt
Filed under: uncultured Eubacteriales bacterium
Lineage: Bacteria; Bacillati; Bacillota; Clostridia; Eubacteriales
Description: uncultured Clostridiales bacterium partial 16S ribosomal RNA
Rfam family: Bacterial small subunit ribosomal RNA
Source: RNAcentral
AGUAACGCGUGAGUAACCUGCCUUACACAAGGGGAUAGCCUUUGGAAACGAAGAAUAAUACCCUAUAAAACUAUAAAAGCACAUGCUAGAAUGGUCAAAGUGCUAGCGGUGUAAGAUGGACUUGCGUCUGAUUAGCUAGUUGGUGAGAUAAAAGCUCACCAAGGCAACGAUCAGUAGCCGGCUUGAGAGAGUGUACGGCCACAUUGGGACUGAGACACGGCCCAG